This 478-nucleotide ribosomal RNA is filed under the name uncultured bacterium. RNAcentral's name for it is "partial 16S ribosomal RNA". It matches the Rfam family "Bacterial small subunit ribosomal RNA", at positions 28 to 523 of the family's 1533-position model. The record is from RNAcentral.
GACGAACGCUGGCGGCGUGCUUAACACAUGCAAGUCGAACGGUAAGGCCCUUCGGGGUACACGAGUGGCGAACGGGUGAGUAACACGUGGGUGAUCUGCCCUGCACUUCGGGAUAAGCCUGGGAAACUGGGUCUAAUUCCGGAUAGGACCACUGCCUGCAUGGGUGGUGGUGGAAAGCUUUUGCGGUGUGGGAUGGGCCCGCGGCCUAUCAGCUUGUUGGUGGGGUGAUGGCCUACCAAGGCGACGACGGGUAGCCGGCCUGAGGGGGUGACCGGCCACACUGGGACUGAGAUACGGCCGAGACUCCUACGGGAGGCAGUAGUGGGGAAUAUUGCACAAUGGGAGCAAGCCUGAUGCAGCGACGCCGCGUGAGGGAUGACGGCCUUCGGGUUGUAAACCUCUUUCAGCACCGACGAAGCGCAAGUGACGGUAGGUGCAGAAGAAGGACCGGCCAACUACGUGCCAGCAGCCGCGGUAA